This 496-nucleotide ribosomal RNA is filed under the name uncultured bacterium. RNAcentral's name for it is "partial 16S ribosomal RNA". It matches the Rfam family "Bacterial small subunit ribosomal RNA", at positions 29 to 523 of the family's 1533-position model. The record is from RNAcentral.
AUUGAACGCUGGCGGCAUGCUUUACACAUGCAAGUCGAACGGUAGAGGGGGCAACCCCUUGAGAGUGGCGAACGGGUGAGUAAUGCAUCGGAACGUGCCCAGUCGUGGGGGAUAGCCCGGGGAAACCCGGAUUAAUACCGCAUACGACCUGAGGGUGAAAGCGGGGGACCGAAAGGCCUCGCGCGAUUGGAGCGGCCGAGGUCGGAUUAGGUAGUUGGUGGGGUAAAGGCCUACCAAGCCUGCGAUCCGUAGCUGGUCUGAGAGGACGGCCGGCCACACUGGGACUGAGACACGGCCCAGACACCUACUGGAGGCAGUGGUGGGGAAUUUUGGACAAUGGGAGCAAGCCUGUUCCAGCCAUGCCGCGUGCGGGAAGAAGGCCUUCGGGUUGUAAACCGCUUUUGUCAGGGAAGAAAACCUUUGGACUAAUACACUGGGGGGAUGACGGUACCUGAAGAAUAAGCACCGGCUAACUACGUGCCAGCCGCCGCAGUAA